GCUUAUUCAGCGUGCUAAGGCAUGGAGAAAUAAACAAUGGCCAAAUGUUUACCCAUGCAGGACAGAAGAAGCCAAAGUCUUACUUUCUUUCUUUGCUCGUUUUGAAAGCUUAUCAGCGUGCAAAGAAGAAAUUUGGAAAUCAAAUCUUUCGCUGAAUGAAUGGCUGAAAAGACCUCCUAUGAGCUUAAAGACCUUGUUCUUAGGGAAGAUCAACAAGAUAUUCACUAGGACAACGACUAUACUACAUGGUGGAAGGAACUGGUAACACGAUUCUGCAUGACACCCCAAAACCCCCUCGCCUCCUGGACCCAGCUAACCCAGCCAACAAUCUAUUUGACACCGGGUUCACCACUACACGUACCGGUGACAGGUCACAUGAUGAGGGGGAGGGGAACUGGGCUGAGAUAAAGAAGAAGAUUGAGACCAUCGACCUUACUGUAGAUAUAACAGCCUAAUAAUUAUAAGAGUAUUAUAACUCAUCAUAAAGUAUUUAACUUUAUACGUAUUAUGUUGAAAUUACUAAUUGAGAGCUAGACAUGCAGUGAGAUUAUAGGUACGGUAUAUAAACUUAACAUGUUCCAUUAUUUACAGUAUUUAUUCUACUGAGAUUACGCCCACCCUAAUUGCAUGCUACAAAGUAGCUAUAGGUGGGAUGGGCUUAAUUUCGAAAACGAUAUAAUUUUGUCUCGAAAUUAAGACCACCCAUGCAGGUUAUUUGCCUCGAAAUUACGCCCGCUCAUUAAAAAACGAUCUGCAUGCGUCUGACCUGCAGCUAUUGAAAUACAAUGCAAUAUACAACAAUGCAUAAGUAAAGUAGCUAUAUAAUUUUAUAUAUGUAUGAAGAAAAGUAUAUAAGUCAAGAUUCUGCAUCAGAGAGUUGUUCCUAUAUAUAUAUUCAGAGUCUUCAACAGAGAUUUAGAGAAGAUAGCUCAUAUAGAUCCAAUAAUUACUGCUAUUUGCAAGUAGACUAUAGGAGACAAGAACAAAUCAGCUCAAGAAAUUGUUAUUUUUUUUUAGCAGUGGGCGUAUUCUCAAGGCAAAUUAGCCUUUGCAGGAACUUUCACUCAAAAAUGGGGUGGGCGUAAUCUCGAUAGAGUACGGUAAUUAUGCAAAAACAACAACCUAUACAUAUUUUCGUGGGUUUUAAUAUUUCUGCUAUUUCUGUAAGUGAGAGUAAAAUCGCAAAAAAUGUGUAUACUUAUGUCUAGCAGAUAAUUGGAAAUGCAAUGAACUUUGCAGCUCUCUUCUCACUCUUGAAGCUACCAAUAUAGCUAGCAUUCUAUAGUGCAGAGCUAAGUAGAGUAGCAACACUCCAUAUAAUUAUGGACAAGUUUUGCUAUACGCAUGCACUGUUUUGAAAAGGCUGCAAUAGCAUUCCGAGUAGGCAUAACUCAAGAACGAUUAUUUUGCAAAUCCACACAUUAAAAUCCCCCAAAAAACUUUGUAGAAUCCUAUAGAAACUCUAACUUGCAGUUCAUUGAUCCUUGAACAACUGUAGCAGUCUACACACAUACAGACACACAU
This is a long non-coding RNA of Halichondria panicea, 1524 nucleotides long. RefSeq lists it as uncharacterized. The record is from RefSeq and is a predicted model, not a curated record. Lineage: Eukaryota; Metazoa; Porifera; Demospongiae; Suberitida; Halichondriidae. The transcript has 3 exons.